Molecule: ribosomal RNA, 1842 nt
Filed under: Fujianacarus wisterianis
Lineage: Eukaryota; Metazoa; Arthropoda; Arachnida; Trombidiformes; Eriophyidae
Description: partial small subunit ribosomal RNA
Source: RNAcentral
AGUUAGGGCUCGACUCCGGAGAACAAGCCUGAGAAACGGCUAGUAGGACUAAGGUCUGCAGCAGGCGCGAAACUUACACAAUGCUAGAUUACUGAUUAUAGCGAUGUAGUGAAGAAAAAUAACGAUGUACUUACAUUUAAACAUGUUAGUACAAUUGGAAUGAGACGACUUUAAACCAGUCAGUCGAGUAACAAAUGGAGGGCAAGUCUGGUGCCAGCAGCCGCGGUAAUUCCAGCUCCAUUAGCAUACAUUAAAGUUGUUGCGGUUAAAAAGCUCGUAGUUGAAUGUUGGGCGGCCAUGUGGGUGCUGGGGUGGUUAAGGGCGUUGAUUCGACUUCGGUCGUCCUCGCCUCACUUCAGCCAACCCAAGUUGGUCGCCGUUUCGUCACUUAAUCGAGUGCGAAGCAGGGCGGGAUGCCGGCCACUCCGGUGGCCUCCACUCCGCCAGGUUUACCUUGAGAAAAUUAGAGUGCUCACAGCAGGCAGUUGGGGCCUAACAGCCCCUUUAUGCUUGAAUAAUGUUGCAUGGAAUAAUAGAAUACGGCCUCGGUUCUAUUCUGUUGGUCUUAUAGAACAACAAACAAGUUGGCGGCGGGCCUAAAAGGUCCCCUGGACGGGCGGCCGUCUCGYACCUGUUGUCUGGAAGUAAAACUCCAGUACCUCUGCGAGCGCGCCAUCAAACCCCCCAUCGGACUAAACCCCCGUCCAACUGAGGCAAUGGUUAAAAGAAAUAGUCGCGGCGGCAUCAGUACUGCAUCGUGAGAGGUGAAAUUCUUAGACCGAUGCAAGACUAACUGAAGCGAAAGCGUUUGCCGAGGAUAUUUUCAUUAAUCAAGAACGAAAGUUAGAGGUUCGAAGGCGAUCAGAUACCGCCCUAGUUCUAACCAUAAACGUUGCCAACUAGCAAUUGGGUUGCGAUUCCUUUAAUCGGGGCCUCAAAAACCCCGAUCAUUAUGAUCCACCCAGCGGCUCUCGUAGGGAAACCAAAGUGUUUGGGUUCCGGGGGAAGUAUGAUUGCAAAGUUGAAACUUAAAGGAAUUGACGGAAGGGCACCACCAGGAGUGGAGCCUGCGGCUUAAUUUGACUCAACACGGGGAAACUUACUAGAUUAAAACUCUGGAAUGAUUGACAGAUUGAUAGCUCUUUCUUGAUUCAGAGGAUGGUGGUGCAUGGCCGUUCUUGAUUCGUAUUCCGAAACGUCUGCUUAAUUGCGAUAACGAGUGAGACCUCACCCAACUAACUAGUCGCUCGGUGCGCCGUGGGGCGCUCAAGUCGGACGUGGAUCAGCAAUGGAGAUUCGUCAAAGUUGCCCCGCGUUCGAUGCCCUCUGCUCGCCGGCGGACUUCUUAGAGGGAUAAACGGUGUUUUAGCCGUAAGAAACGAGGCAAUAACAGGUCUGUGAUGCCCUUAGAUAUUCUAGGCCGCACGCGUGCUACAAUGGCGUGUGCAGAGAGCUUGUUCGAGGUCCGUCCGGGGGGAACUGGUGGUUUGGUUGCGUGAGGGCAGCAAUGUUUGAGCGUAGUCGGCCGCAAAGUGCCCCGGUCUCGGGCCGAGAGAAACCGCGGCCGAAAGGUCGCGGCAAUCAGAAAUACACGCCGUGAUUUGGGAUUGGGGAUUGCAAUUGUUGCCCAUGAACGAGGAAUUCCCAGUAAGCGCAAUUCAUCAUAUUGCGUUGAUUACGUCCCUGCCCUUUGUACACACCGCCCGUCGCUACUACCGAUUGGAAGUUUUAGUGAGGCAUCUGGACCUGCCGUCCAGGAGGGGGGCAACCCUCUCAGGCUGGCGGGGAAGUUUGUCGAACUCAAAUUUCUAGAGGAAGUAAAAGUCGUAACAAGGUUUCCGU